Molecule: long non-coding RNA, 214 nt
Filed under: Elaeis guineensis (African oil palm)
Lineage: Eukaryota; Viridiplantae; Streptophyta; Magnoliopsida; Arecales; Arecaceae
Description: long non-coding RNA (EGUI_LNC079243)
Source: RNAcentral
CGGGAUUAUGGCUUCCGUUCUAUAGGCCAAGCUGAAAGGUGAUUCCCCGGUCGGGACCUGGGGUGUCGUCCGGUAUGCCCACAGGAUGGAGUUCAGCUCCUCGACCCAAAGGCCCUUGGCUUCAUUCAGUCGGGUUUUGAGCCCAUGCAGUAUGGUCCGAUUGGUCACCUCGACCUCACCGUUGGACUGUGGAUGCCUGAUCGAGGUUAGUCAG